UCCCUGAUAGCUCAGUUGGUAAAGAAUCUGCCUGCAAUGUGGGAGACCCUGGUUUGAUUCCUGGUCAGGAAG
RNAcentral lists this transfer RNA (72 nucleotides) under Bos taurus (domestic cattle). It matches the Rfam family "tRNA". From Rfam's summary of the family: Transfer RNA (tRNA) molecules are approximately 80 nucleotides in length. Their secondary structure includes four short double-helical elements and three loops (D, anti-codon, and T loops). Lineage: Eukaryota; Metazoa; Chordata; Mammalia; Artiodactyla; Bovidae. RNAcentral also lists the same sequence under 3 other names. The record is from Rfam by way of RNAcentral.